CCUACGGGAGGCAGCAGUGAGGAAUAUUGGUCAAUGGGCGCGCGCCUGAACCAGCCAAGUAGCGUGAAGGAUGACUGCCCUAUGGGUUGUAAACCUCUUUUAUAAGGGAGUAAAGUGCGCCACGUGUGGCGUUUUGUAUGUACUUUAUGAAUAAGGAUCGGCUAACUCCGUGCCAGCAGCCGCGGUAAUACGGAGGAUCCGAGCGUUGUUCGGAUUUAUUGGGUUUAAAGGGAGCGUAGAUGGGUUGUUAAGUCAGUUGUGAAAGUUUGGGGCUCAACCGUAAAAUUGCCGUUGAUACUGGCAGUCUUGAGUACAGUAGAGGUAGGCGGAAUUCGUGGUGUAGCGGUGAAAUGCUUAGAUAUCACGAAGAACUCCGAUUGCGAAGGCAGCUUACUAGACUGCAACUGACACUGAGGCUCGAAAGUGUGGGUAUCAAACAGGAUUAGAUACCCCAGUAGUC
RNAcentral lists this ribosomal RNA (460 nucleotides) under uncultured bacterium. RNAcentral describes it as "partial 16S ribosomal RNA". It matches the Rfam family "Bacterial small subunit ribosomal RNA", at positions 338 to 795 of the family's 1533-position model. The record is from RNAcentral.